GGAGGAUGUGUGUGUACAUUAAUGUAGUCAGAGGGUAUGUGUGUGUUCAGUACUGAAGUCAGAGGACAGAUACAGAUAUAGAUGCAGAUUCAGGUACAAAUACAGGUGUAGGUACAGCUACAGAUACAGAUACAGGUGCAGAUACAGAUGCAGAUACAGGAGCAGGUGCAGAUACAGAUGCAGAUACAGGAGCAGGUGCAGAUACAGGUGUAGAUACAGAUACAGGUACAGAUACAGAUGCAGGUACGGGUGCAAGUGCAGAUACAGAUAUAGAUGCAGAUUCAAGUACAAAUACAGGUGCAGGUGCAGAUAUAGGUGCAGAUACAGACACAGGUGCAGAUACAGGUGCAGGUGCACAUACAGGUGCAGGUACAGGUACGGGUACAGAUACAGGUCCGGGUACAGAUACAGGUAUGGGUACAGAUACAGGUGCAGGUACAGAUACAGGUGCAGGUAUGGUACAGAUACAGGUGCAGGUAUGGGUACAGAUGCAGGUAUGGGUACAGAUACAGGUGCAAGUACGGAUACAGAUACAGGUGCAGGUAUGGGUACAGAUACAGGUGCAGGUAUGGGUACAGAUACAGGUGCAGGUAUGGGUACAGAUACAGGUGCAGGUAUGGGUACAGAUACAGGUGCAAGUACGGAUACAGAUACAGGUGCAGGUACGGGUACAGAUACAGGUGCAGGUAUGGGUACAGACACAGAUGCAGGUAUAGAUACAGGUGCAGGUAUGGGUACAGGUGCAGGUAUGGGUACAGGUGCAGGUAUGGGUAUAGAUACAGGUGCAGGUAUAGAUACAGGUGCAGGUAUGUGUACAGAUACAGGUGCAGGUAUAGAUACAGAUACAGAUGCAGGUAUACAUACAGAUACAGG
Long non-coding RNA from Ictalurus punctatus (channel catfish), 873 nucleotides. The record is from Ensembl. Lineage: Eukaryota; Metazoa; Chordata; Actinopteri; Siluriformes; Ictaluridae.